This 507-nucleotide ribosomal RNA is filed under the name uncultured bacterium. RNAcentral describes it as "bacterial SSU rRNA". It matches the Rfam family "Bacterial small subunit ribosomal RNA", at positions 100 to 638 of the family's 1533-position model. The record is from RNAcentral.
AGACGGGUGAGUAACACGUAGGAAUCUACCAUAAAGUGGGGAAUAGCCCUCCGAAAGGAGGAGUAAUACCGCAUGUGGUCGCAAGACCAAAGCCUUCGGGCGCUUUAUGAGGAGCCUGCGCGCUAUCAGUUAGUUGGUGGGGUAAUGGCCUACCAAGACUACGACGGCUAGCCGAUGUGAGAGCAUGAUCGGCCACAAGGCUACUGAGACACGGAGCCUACACCUACGGGUGGCAGCAACUGGGAAUCUUGCGCAAUGGGCGAAAGCCUGACGCAGCGACACCGCGUGUGGGAAGAAUUUCUUCGGAAUGUAAACCACUGUGGCGAGGGAGGAAAUUUUGACAGUACCUCGCUAGAAAGCACCAGCUAACUACGUGCCAGAAGCUUCGGUAAUACGUAGGGUGCAAGCGUUAUCCGGAUUUACUGGGCGUAAAGCGUCCGUCGGCGUCCCGACAAGUUGCUUGUCCAAGCCUGAGGCUCAACUUCAGAAAGGCAAGCAAAACUAUCA